Molecule: ribosomal RNA, 231 nt
Filed under: Vibrio parahaemolyticus
Lineage: Bacteria; Pseudomonadati; Pseudomonadota; Gammaproteobacteria; Vibrionales; Vibrionaceae
Description: partial 16S ribosomal RNA
Rfam family: Bacterial small subunit ribosomal RNA
Source: RNAcentral
AAAUUGAAGAGUUUGAUCAUGGCUCAGAUUGAACGCUGGCGGCAGGCCUAACACAUGCAAGUCGAGCGGAAACGAGUUAUYWGAACCUUCGGGGGACGAUAACGGCGUCGAGCGGCGGACGGGUGAGUAAUGCCUAGGAAAUUGCCCUGAUGUGGGGGAUAACCAUUGGAAACGAUGGCUAAUACCGCAUGAUGCCUACGGGCCAAAGAGGGGGACCUUCGGGCCUCUCGC